GGGGGCGUGGCUCAUCGCCGGUACUUGUCUCCAUAAAAGACAGCUAUCGUUUCCGCUAUCCACCGUGGCAAUAAACAUCCGCCAUUUCUGCUGUCUCUAUUUGUUUGUGUGAAUUACACAAACGUCGGAACCGCCGGAUUUUGUCGAGGGUGGCCAUACGACCGACAUGGGGGGCGGGGGCGCUGCGGGGAACGCCACGUACCGUCGUGGAGGUUGAAGAGGAACCAACGCGGCUCUGACCGAGGGCCGUGUUUCUCAGCGUGAGAUAUUGGGUGUGUGCGUGUGAAAACAUGCAAACGCGUGAGUCACACGGCGGAGAGGCUGGCAAGGGAACAUCUGUAGCCUCUUCAGGGGACAGCAACCGAACAACCGGUAUGGAAAUACAGCGUCACAACAACACAGCUGUGUGCUGUGAGAAUCAACUCUAUCCAGUGGCAGAGCUCUCAUAUUGUGGAGAGAAGGCUUUCAACCCAGAAGAAGCCACUUGUUGCCCAUAUGAAAAUGGAAGCACCAUAACAGAGGGCCUUAGUGAAAAGGUGUCAGCUUGCUGUGGACUGAAGGCAUACGACCAGCUCAAUCAAAUAUGCUGUCACGGAACCAUCCUAGUCAAACCUGGGCCAAACGCCCAAUGUUGUGAUAAAAAGGCUUUUGAUGUCGACGAGCAGAUGUGUUGUGGACCGCUGACCAAUAAGACAAUCCUAACAAAAGAAUCCUCAGACCACCGAUGCUGUGGACAAAACAGUUUUAACCCAACGACUCAAUGCUGCUGUUCGAUAAAUGAAAGUCUAAGCAUAUGGUCCAAGGAUUCCAGCUGCUGCGAGAAGGCUGACUGUGGACAGAACACCUACAACACAAGCGACAAACUAUGCUGUCAAUCAACGGUUGUUAGCAAAAAUGUAUCAAAUGCCCAAUGCUGUGGUAAACAGGCGUUUAAUAACGACACACAAUUGUGUUGUGGUCCUUCUGAUGACAAGAUAAUCCUGGAGAGAAUCUCUAUUGACCACCUCUGUUGUGGACGUAACCGGUUCGACACCAACAAGGAGUGCUGCUGUUUGACAAAGGAAGGUCUUCAGAUACAACAGAUCAAUUCCAGCUGCCGUCGGGAUCAGGGUCAAUCUUCUGAUGCCACUGCUGUGUUUAACCCACACAUAGGUGUCUGCUGUGGACGCUGUGUGUCUGAUUGGAACCCUUCGACAGAUCAACUUCAUGGCCCGCCUGGACAACAUAGCUGCAGGACGAAAGUUUAUCGGCCUCACGCGGGGAUCAUUUGCGAUGGACCAAGUGUCUGAUAUGUCAAGACAUGUGCGUCGUCAAAAGCUAAAAAAUGAGUGUUGGGAAACACAGACAGGAGUGGCACGGAAAAUUCUUCAGGAGUAGUUUCAUACUGUUGCAAAGACAGGCAAAUAGACUGGCCGGUUGCCUUUUUCUAAUUGUUCCUCGGAAACUUUAAAAAUAACCAAAGAAUGGAAUGUCUGUGUUUAGGCUAACAGCUGCAGUUUUGAAUGCCUGACCUUCCGUUUCCUCUUGGUAAUUGUACUCAUGUUUGCUGCUGAAUUUAUGUACUCACUUCAAUGCUUGUGUGCAGAAGUUAUCUUGACCACCAGCAUACUUAAUGCCUGAGAAGGAGCAUAUUUGAGCUCAACCUCUUUUGAAUGUAAAAGGCUUUGUCUUCAUAACAUUGUGAUGAUGAUUAUUAUAACAUCUUUAUCCCACUCAUCUGAUUUGAUAGUAACAUUAAGCUCCUGUC
Molecule: long non-coding RNA, 1747 nt
Organism: Gasterosteus aculeatus aculeatus (three-spined stickleback)
Lineage: Eukaryota; Metazoa; Chordata; Actinopteri; Perciformes; Gasterosteidae
Source: Ensembl